GUCUCUGUGUGGUAUGGUUGUGUAGCGAGUUGAUGUCUAGAGCAGUGAGUUGUAUUUGUCGUGGUGUGUGUGCCCUGGGUGGCUGUUAUGUUACUUCACAUAAGUGUCACAUAUAUACUUUACAUUUCCAGCUGGUGACUAAGGUGCGAUAUCUUUGGACUGGUACUUGCUGUGGUGUCAAGAUGAUAGCAAUAGUCUCUGGACAAGUCCAUAGUGUGGGUUAUCGUUGAUGCUGUUGACGG
Molecule: non-coding RNA, 242 nt
Organism: Pelobates cultripes (western spadefoot toad)
Lineage: Eukaryota; Metazoa; Chordata; Amphibia; Anura; Pelobatidae
Source: the annotation of a GenBank genome assembly